Molecule: ribosomal RNA, 257 nt
Filed under: uncultured bacterium
Lineage: Bacteria
Description: partial 16S ribosomal RNA
Rfam family: Bacterial small subunit ribosomal RNA
Source: RNAcentral
UACAGAGACCUCAAGCGUUAUCCGGAAUCAUUGGGCGUAAAGCGUACCGAUAGGUGGUUUUACAAGUCAGAGGUGAAAUCCCAAGGCUCAACUUUGGGACUGUCCUUUGAAACUGUACAACUAGAGGGGCAAGGAGGAAGCUGGAACGAACGGUGUAGUAGUGAAAUGCGUUGAUAUCGUUCGGAACACCAAUAGCGUAGGCAGGCUUCUGGGUGCCACCUGACACUGCUAGGACGAAAGCGUGGGGAGCGAAUGGG